This 500-nucleotide ribosomal RNA is filed under the name uncultured bacterium. Its description in RNAcentral is "partial 16S ribosomal RNA". It matches the Rfam family "Bacterial small subunit ribosomal RNA", at positions 30 to 523 of the family's 1533-position model. The record is from RNAcentral.
AUUGAACGCUGGCGGUACGCCUUACACAUGCAAGUCGAACGGCAGCACGGGAGCAAUCCUGGUGGCGAGUGGCGAACGGGUGAGUAAAGUAUCGGAACGUGCCCAGUCGUGGGGGAUAACGUAGCGAAAGUUACGCUAAUACCGCAUACGAUCUAUGGAUGAAAGCGGGGGAUCGCAAGACCUCGCGCGAUUGGAGCGGCCGAUAUCAGAUUAGGUAGUUGGUGGGGUAAAGGCUCACCAAGCCGACGAUCUGUAGCUGGUCUGAGAGGACGGCCAGCCACACUGGGACUGAGACACGGCCCAGACUCCUACGGGAGGCAGCAGUGGGGAAUUUUGGACAAUGGGCGAAAGCCUGAUCCAGCCAUGCCGCGUGCAGGAUGAAGGCCUUCGGGUUGUAAACUGCUUUUGUACGGAACGAAAAGGUUUGGCCUAAUAAGCUGAGCUCAUGACGGUACCGUAAGAAUAAGCACCGGCUAACUACGUGCCAGCAGCCGCGGUAA